AGCGAACGCUAGCGGCAGGCUUAACACAUGCAAGUCGAGCGCCAGGUUUCGGCCUGGAGCGGCGAACGGGUGAGUAACACGUAGGUCACGUACCCUAUGGUGGGGAAUACCCCGGGGAAACUCGGAUCAAUGCCCCAUAUGUCCGAAAGGAUGAAAGCGCUUCGGCGCGCCAGGGGAUCGGCCUGCGGCCCAUUAUUUAAUCCUGGUUGGUGAGGUAACGGCCCACCAAGGGUACGAGGGGUAGCUGGUCUGAGAGGACGAUCAGCCACACUGGAACGGAGACACGGUCCAGACGCCUACGGGAGGCAGCAGUGGGGAAUAUUGGACAAUGGGCGAAAGCCUGAUCCAGCCAUGCCGCGUGAGUGAUGAAGGCCUUCGGGUUGUAAAGCUCUGUCGUGGGGGAAGAAGUUCUGACGGUACCCCACAAGAAAGCACCGGCUAACUCCGUGCCAGCCGCCGCAGUAA
RNAcentral lists this ribosomal RNA (465 nucleotides) under uncultured bacterium. RNAcentral's name for it is "partial 16S ribosomal RNA". It matches the Rfam family "Bacterial small subunit ribosomal RNA", at positions 29 to 523 of the family's 1533-position model. The record is from RNAcentral.